UUUCCGUAGGUGAACCUGCGGAAGGAUCAUUAUUGUAUAACCGAGGUGCGAGGGCUGUCGCUGACCCGAAAGGUCGUGCACGCCCGAGUGCCCUCACACACAUCCACCUCACCCCUAUGUGCACCACCGCGUGGGUCCCCCUUUGGCUUGUUCGGAGGGGGGCUUACGUUUUCACACAAACUUUGAAUGCAGUGUAGAAUGUAUUUUUUGUUUUUGCGAUCACGCAAUCAAUACAACUUUCAACAACGGAUCUCUUGGUUCUC
This 263-nucleotide unclassified non-coding RNA is filed under the name plant metagenome. RNAcentral describes it as "partial contains small subunit ribosomal RNA, internal transcribed spacer 1, and 5.8S ribosomal RNA". The record is from RNAcentral.